This 29-nucleotide non-coding RNA is filed under the name Callithrix jacchus (white-tufted-ear marmoset). RNAcentral also lists the same sequence under 1 other name. The record is from RNAcentral. Lineage: Eukaryota; Metazoa; Chordata; Mammalia; Primates; Cebidae.
UGCUGCUGGACUUCAGCUACACGGGCCGC